Molecule: ribosomal RNA, 409 nt
Filed under: uncultured Oscillospiraceae bacterium
Lineage: Bacteria; Bacillati; Bacillota; Clostridia; Eubacteriales; Oscillospiraceae
Description: partial 16S ribosomal RNA
Rfam family: Bacterial small subunit ribosomal RNA
Source: RNAcentral
ACGGGAGGCAGCAGUGGGGAAUAUUAGGCAAUGGGGGCAACCCUGACCUAGCAACGCCGCGUGAAGGAAGAAGGCCUUCGGGUUGUAAACUUCUUUUAUAGGGGACGAAACGAAUGACGGUACCCUAUGAAUAAGCCACGGCUAACUACGUGCCAGCAGCCGCGGUAAUACGUAGGUGGCAAGCGUUGUCCGGAUUUACUGGGUGUAAAGGGCGCGUAGGCGGGAUUGCAAGUCAGAUGUGAAAUCCAUGGGCUCAACCCAUGAACUACAUUUGAAACUGUGGUUCGUGAGUAUCGGAGAGGCAAGCGGAAUACCUAGUGUAGCGGUGAAAUGCGUAGAUAUUAGGAGGAACACCAGUGGCGAAGGCGGCUUGCUGGACGAAAACUGACGCUGAGACGCGAAAGCGUGG